UACGGGGGGGGUAAGCGUUGUUCGGAAUUACUGGGCGUAAAGGGCUCGUAGGCGGCCAACUAAGUCAGACGUGAAUUCCCUCAGCUUACCUGGGGAACUGCGUCUGAUACUGGAUGGCUUGGAUUUGGGAGAGGAAUGCGGAAUUCCAGGUGUAGCGGUGAAAUGCGUAGAUAUCUGGAGGAACACCGGUGGCGAAGGCGGCAUUCUGGACUGCAACUGACACUGAGGAACGAAAGCCAGGGGAGCAAACGGG
Molecule: ribosomal RNA, 253 nt
Filed under: uncultured bacterium
Lineage: Bacteria
Description: partial 16S ribosomal RNA
Rfam family: Bacterial small subunit ribosomal RNA
Source: RNAcentral